RNAcentral lists this ribosomal RNA (937 nucleotides) under Lactobacillus sp. 24DCCH01MX. Its description in RNAcentral is "bacterial SSU rRNA". It matches the Rfam family "Bacterial small subunit ribosomal RNA", at positions 44 to 940 of the family's 1533-position model. Lineage: Bacteria; Bacillati; Bacillota; Bacilli; Lactobacillales; Lactobacillaceae. The record is from RNAcentral.
GUGCCUAUACAUGCAGUCGAACGCGUUGGCCCAAUUGAUUGAUGGUGCUUGCACCUGAUUGAUUUUGGUCGCCAACGAGUGGCGGACGGGUGAGUAACACGUAGGUAACCUGCCCAGAAGCGGGGGACAACAUUUGGAAACAGAUGCUAAUACCGCAUAACAACGUUGUUCGCAUGAACAACGCUUAAAAGAUGGCUUCUCGCUAUCACUUCUGGAUGGACCUGCGGUGCAUUAGCUUGUUGGUGGGGUAAUGGCCUACCAAGGCGAUGAUGCAUAGCCGAGUUGAGAGACUGAUCGGCCACAAUGGGACUGAGACACGGCCCAUACUCCUACGGGAGGCAGCAGUAGGGAAUCUUCCACAAUGGGCGCAAGCCUGAUGGAGCAACACCGCGUGAGUGAAGAAGGGUUUCGGCUCGUAAAGCUCUGUUGUUAAAGAAGAACACGUAUGAGAGUAACUGUUCAUACGUUGACGGUAUUUAACCAGAAAGUCACGGCUAACUACGUGCCAGCAGCCGCGGUAAUACGUAGGUGGCAAGCGUUAUCCGGAUUUAUUGGGCGUAAAGAGAGUGCAGGCGGUUUUCUAAGUCUGAUGUGAAAGCCUUCGGCUUAACCGGAGAAGUGCAUCGGAAACUGGAUAACUUGAGUGCAGAAGAGGGUAGUGGAACUCCAUGUGUAGCGGUGGAAUGCGUAGAUAUAUGGAAGAACACCAGUGGCGAAGGCGGCUACCUGGUCUGCAACUGACGCUGAGACUCGAAAGCAUGGGUAGCGAACAGGAUUAGAUACCCUGGUAGUCCAUGCCGUAAACGAUGAGUGCUAGGUGUUGGAGGGUUUCCGCCCUUCAGUGCCGGAGCUAACGCAUUAAGCACUCCGCCUGGGGAGUACGACCGCAAGGUUGAAACUCAAAGGAAUUGACGGGGCCCGCACAGCGGUGGAGCAU